GGAUUAGCGGCGAACGGGUGAGGAACACGUGAGGAAUCUGCCUUCAACACUGGGAUAACUCCGGGAAACCGGGGCUAAUACCGGAUACGAGACCUGCAGGCAUCUGCGGGUCUGGAAAGUUUUUCGGUUGAAGAUGACCUCGCGGCCUAUCAGCUUGUUGGUGAGGUAAUGGCUCACCAAGGCGACGACGGGUAGCCGGCCUGAGAGGGCGACCGGCCACACUGGGACUGAGACACGGCCCAGACUCCUACGGGAGGCAGCAGUGGGGAAUAUUGGGCAAUGGAGGAAACUCUGACCCAGCGACGCCGCGUGCGGGAUGAAGGCCUUCGGGUUGUAAACCGCUUUCAGCAAGGAAGAAGCGAAAGUGACGGUACUUGCAGAAGAAGCACCGGCUAACUAUGUGCCAGCAGCCGCGGUAAUACAUAGGGUGCAAGCGUUGUCCGGAAUUAUUGGGCGUAAAGGGCUCGUAGGUGGUUCGUCACGUCGGAUGUGAAAAUCUGGGGCUUAAC
This 509-nucleotide ribosomal RNA is filed under the name uncultured Actinomycetes bacterium. RNAcentral describes it as "bacterial SSU rRNA". It matches the Rfam family "Bacterial small subunit ribosomal RNA", at positions 89 to 613 of the family's 1533-position model. Lineage: Bacteria; Bacillati; Actinomycetota; Actinomycetes. The record is from RNAcentral.